UUUCAGUAUAUUCAGACCUUAGAACCUUAAAAACACUCUCUCAAGGUUCUCUCAUGAUCCAAGACCCAUACAAAGGGCAAACACCACAAAUCAAGUGUCGGGAAUCCCGUGGCGCUAGUAAGUUUCUUGUUCUUCUUGUUGUUGCUGAUUUUUGUGUUGUUACAGCUCAUGUGGGAGGUUGUUUUAAGUGUUUUAUGUUCUGUAAAUACUCCCUCAAGUUUUUAAUAUCAAUCCUAGGUGAUUUCAAGUCUUCUAAAGUAAUUCUAGUGCCGAAAAAAUUGAAUUGAUUGGUAGUUUCGCUUCCUUGUUCUUGUGGCAGCAUUGGAGGGAUAUUUCGUGGACAAUUAAGGUCAAAUUGGAGUUUUUCUUUCUGUUUAAAGGUAAGGAACCUCUUACUCUACAUGUAUUUAAGAUUAUCCAAGUUGCGGCUAAGUCGUUGAAGCUAGAACUUGUGAAAUAUAUAUAUCGAAAGGCUUGGUAGUAAUGUUGUUGGUUGGUGGACUAUUUUGGGAGGCUCAAUAUAAUUAUUGUUAAUGUUGUUUGGGCUGUUUGGUGAUUGUCUUGACUUGUGGGAAGUCAUAUAAAUAGGGGAGGUUCUGUCCGUUUCAUCAUAAAAUAGAUUGCGGUCGAUACAUAAUAGUUACAACACUUAAACGAUAACAAUAGUGUCAUUUCUCUUAUUGUAGACUAAGGAAUCGUGACAUUUGCAUAGCUUGAGGUUGGGCAGUAUAUACAAGGUAUGUGAGGCUAUCCCCUUCAUUCAUUUGCACGACUUUGAUUGUACAUAAUGUAAUGAACGAGUUUCCAAAUAUACUCUACUCUUAGAAGCUAGCAGUACUUACAUUGUUGCCCUUCUUAUGGAAUGAUUGAUGUUGAUGUUACUUCUCUUAUUUUUAUGUUAUCAAUGUUGUUGGUACUUUCUUAUUCUUAUAAGAUUCUUGAUGAAGAGUUAAUCCUAAUAACGUGUACGGAGGAUACCGACCUUACGUUACUCCGAAAGGUUCAAAAUGUGAUUCCAAUAAGUCCAGCACGCAUCAUAUAUAUGUAUCUAUUUUACUCUACCGAGCUGCGCUAUAGUCAGCCGGGUACGGUAACCUAUUGUGCAACC
RNAcentral lists this long non-coding RNA (1108 nucleotides) under Nicotiana tabacum (common tobacco). RNAcentral's name for it is "long non-coding RNA (NTAB_LNC012783)". The record is from RNAcentral. Lineage: Eukaryota; Viridiplantae; Streptophyta; Magnoliopsida; Solanales; Solanaceae.